AUUCCAGCUCCAAUAGCGUAUAUUAAAGUUGCUGCAGUUAAAAAGCUCGUAGUUGGAUUUGUGGCGCGGCCGUCCGGCGGGGCUCCUUCAUUGGGGCCGUUUGUCUGGUUUUUCGGCCGCUCCAUUCUCGGGUAGUGUGUCGCUGGCAUUAGGUUGUCGGCUUCUUCACGCCCGUCGUUUACUGUGAAAAAAUUAGAGUGUUCAAAGCAGGCUUAGGCCAUUGGAUACAUUAGCAUGGAAUAAUGAGAUAGGGCCACGACGGUCUAUUUUGUUGGUUUGCACGUUGUGGUAAUGAUUAACAGGAACGGUUGGGGGUAUUCGUAUUCAAUUGUCAGAGGUGAAAUCCUUGGAUUUAUGAAAGAUGAACUUAUGCGAAAGCAUUUACCAAGGAUGUUUUCAUCA
RNAcentral lists this ribosomal RNA (402 nucleotides) under Phaeophyceae sp. RNAcentral's name for it is "partial small subunit ribosomal RNA". It matches the Rfam family "Eukaryotic small subunit ribosomal RNA", at positions 582 to 975 of the family's 1831-position model. Lineage: Eukaryota; Phaeophyceae. The record is from RNAcentral.